This 407-nucleotide ribosomal RNA is filed under the name Pseudomonas aeruginosa. RNAcentral describes it as "bacterial SSU rRNA". It matches the Rfam family "Bacterial small subunit ribosomal RNA", at positions 45 to 455 of the family's 1533-position model. The record is from RNAcentral. Lineage: Bacteria; Pseudomonadati; Pseudomonadota; Gammaproteobacteria; Pseudomonadales; Pseudomonadaceae.
GGCCUAACAAUGCAAGUCGAGCGGAUGAAGGGAGCUUGCUCUCUGAUUCAGCGGCGGACGGGUGAGUAAUGCCUAGGAAUCUGCCUGGUAGUGGGGGACAACGUUCCGAAAGGAGCGCUAAUACCGCAUACGUCCUACGGGAGAAAGUGGGGGAUCUUCGGACCUCACGCUAUCAGAUGAGCCUAGGUCGGAUUAGCUAGUAGGUGGGGUAAUGGCUCACCUAGGCGACGAUCCGUAACUGGUCUGAGAGGAUGAUCAGUCACACUGGAACUGAGACACGGUCCAGACUCCUACGGGAGGCAGCAGUGGGGAAUAUUGGACAAUGGGCGAAAGCCUGAUCCAGCCAUGCCGCGUGUGUGAAGAAGGUCUUCGGAUUGUAAAGCACUUUAAGUUGGGAGGAAGGGCAG